GUCACAAGCUUUCUGAUUUAAGGUAAUUCCAUCGUGCUUUCUUUCUUUUUUUUUUUCCCCGCCCUAAAAGGAAAACAGAGUCGCCGGACCGGAAGGAGUCUGCCGAUUCCGAUUGCUCUGCCGAAACUUCAAUAAGCUCUCGCUAAAUACUCUAUUUUCUAAGCGAUGCGUUUCUGCAUUUCCCUUCAAUAUCUUCGGAACUACAUAUCAGACUGGCAUGUAUGAUUUGGAUUCAAGCAGAUAAGAAGUUACUCGGUUUUUCCAUGCUAUCAUGGUGUUUCGGCAGCUCAAUCUGCUCGAAGUGCAAAAUCAAAUUUCACUCAUGAACUCAGUCAAGUUGCAUACAAGCAACGUAAACACAACCAUUAUAUAUGAAUAACCCUGUUAUCAUGAUGCUGCGUAUGUGGAUGAUAUUUUGUCCGAAGGUGCUCCAGAAGUUGCAAAAAUGUUGUGGAUGCUACCCAAUAAUUUCUAUGCUACUGGAUUCUAGUGGGAAGAACAGAAUAAAUGCUUCAGGAAUAAUAAGGAAUGAUCAAUAUGAUAACAUAACCAAAGUCUACUUUUGGAUGUUCUAUCAUCCCCCACAAGUUUUGGACUCUACCAGUGAGCAUAUACUUGAUUGAGAAAGAAAACAAAUUAUUUUUGCUUCCAUCUCUCCUCUUAUGGUACAGUAAAUUUUAUGUGGUCCGUUCUUAGCAUGGGAUUUUAUCGCCCUUAUCUAUUGAUUUUGGUAUAUUUUUCAGAUCAGGGCUUUUUUUAGUUCAGUAUUCACACUUGAACAAAAUUUUCUUUAGCACAUUAUAUGAUGUGUGGUAUUGGUGAAAAUAAUUUGCAUUUAACAUGCUUAGAGUGGUUUGUUCUAGUGUGAACCCAUAUUACAUUAGGGGCACAGCUGCAGAAGCUUUAUGAUUAAUUAUUGGCCUAUGAGAAAACUUGGUCCCUUCCAUCACUUUGCAGCUAUAAUACAAAUGUGAAUAAUGUAUGUGAUUAGGCAGGGGACAAUUACAAGGUGGGUUUGUGUAUAUUUAUCUUUUGUAUUUGUGUGUGUGGGUGGGUGGGGAGGGGGGGAACUGAAAAAGUAGCACCUUCUUUUCUUCAAAUAUAAUUUGAGGUUUCAGAUAGAAUCUUCUCCCCUAUUUUCUUCUCUUUUUAUUCUACUCCUGUCACAACAUGUAUUUAUUUAUAAAUAAGCACUGCACUACGUGUCGGGUUUAUCAUAUCCAUGCUGGGAUUCUUAUCAAUUUUGGGAGACUGAUAAUGAAGAAUAUCAAUCCCUUCGGUGAAGAAAGGAGGGGAACACAUAAAUUCAUAUUCUCAAUCUCAUUCGAUGCACCCACAACUUUUGCAAAGGAGGAGGGGAUGUGACCACAGAUUUACAAAAAUCGCUAACAGAGAACACAAGAUGUCAACGGGGCAGCAAAAAUCGACCGAGGGAGGCAUGGAGGGGACCAUGAUCUGCCAGCCUGAGGUAAUAUUCUCUUUCAAUCAUUUGCCCUCCACGUAGCUUCUUCAUUCAUUAUCUUCUGUUGUCUUUGCCUGCAAGUUUUGUUAACCAGAAUUAUCAAGAAUCUAUGAAUUAUUGUAACAAUCAGUCUUUGGGAAAAGGGCAUUUGUUGUACAUAUUUGAUGAAUUGACUAUUUAUAUAGGAGCAUUUUUCCAAGUUUUUAGUGGGGCUCUAAAUCAUGUUUUAUGUUUAAUGGAUGGUGUCGUUUCAACUUGGGCUCCAACUCGGUUGAAGUUGAUCUUAAUAUCUGCUUUUUCUUGAUCUUCUGCACUAAAUGGCAUAUUUGUCUUGUUCAGCCGAAAAGUUCUCAUAUACCUGCCAGAAUGAGACGCCAAUUUAUGUUAAUGUUUUAAUUUAACAUGCUUUUUCUAUUCAAGAUUGUGGUGGGGCAGCCCCAUGAAUAGUUACUGUCCUGAGGUUCCAGGAAAUUUUUAUUCACCGGAUCACUUAAAUUGCUUAUUUUCACAUUGGUUCGCCACUCAUUAUUGACUUUUACACUAAGCACUGCAUCUAUUAGUCCCAGAAAGGUGUCUAUGAACGAGUGAGUGAAUAAGCUCUCAUGCUGUGGCUGCCCAAAAUUGUAAACAUAAAUUUUGGUGCAUUAGAUGCUUCUUUUUUAUUUUGACUAACCAAGUGAUGUUUAAUCAUGACAAGAUUCCUCGGCUCCUAUUCCCACACAGAAUUUGGACCAUUAGCUCAUUCAGUGUUGUUACGAAUAUAAUAACAGAUCAACAGGAUGCUUUUAACUCUCUCCCUUUCUUUUGAAUGCAGAUCCAUAGAUCUAUAUGAAAAUAGAGAUGAUUCCUUCGUUUUGGAUCUUUCUGUUUUUGGUGAAUUAACGAUGUUCAGGGCCAUUCCUUUAACAUAGGAUAACUAUGAGUUUCUCAGGAAAAAAAUCUGCUGAAGUUGUGUAACAUUCACCCUAAAAGCACCUUCUUCCUAGUACUUAUCAUUUAGAAUCUUUACUCACUUGGUUUCGUAUUUCUUAUUAGCAUGGAAUUUGCUUGACACGUAAGUUGCAACCCUUUAUUUCUUUUCCUUCUUUUAUCCAUAGAGUUGGAUUGUUCCUAUAUAUGUUCUUUUCAAUAAAUUUAUUGAAUCAUCACUUUUUUGGUUUCAUUAUGUUUUAAAGAGAAUGAGAGCAUAAAUUGACAGCAUAUGGCAUUUAAAUUGCAAUCUCAAAGAUGGAUAAACUCUUCUGCAUCCUUCUACCAUACACUUCUUCCACAUGCUAGCCUAUAAAUACCUUUUGAUUGACAUAUUGUUGUAUCAUUUAAAGAAGGCAAGAUACUUACAAUCUAGUUCUCAUCUCAUCUAUCAUUUAUUUUCAUCAAACCUGCUACUUUUUUUUGGUGAGAGAUGGACUCAAGCCUUUUGCAACGUCAAGUUGCCUACACGAAGAGGUGCUUUUUUGAGCAGGUUUAUUUUCAAAAUACAGGAAAUUCUUUCACUUUUCUUCCGUCUUUGACAUGGUGCAGUUGGUACUUGUAACUCAUACUUUUCAUUAAGCAUGUUUGAGAAUCCAUGGUUCAUAGUUUCCAGUACAGUGCAGAAUAUAUAACUACCAAACUUUGUGUCUAAUUUGGAAGGGCAGGUUUAGCCUUAUGGUGCAUAAGCCAAAUAGGAACUGGUUUCCUUCGGAUAGGAGCCAAACUGAGCCAUUGGUCCAAGAACGUAUUCAUAUCCUUUAUUUUGGGACGGACUAGAUAUGGUUCUGAGUUCUGGAUUGCUGCAUAGUUUUUACGGUGGGAUGGGCUAACAUGAAGUCAAAGGUCUCAGCUGGUCCUUGUUCAACUGGCUCACAGUUGUACUGGAUGAAUACACUUGUGCUCUACGUUUUGGACCAGCAAAAAUUAUCGGCAGACCAGGAAUAAGACAAACUAAAUUUAUAAAAUGCUAGCCAGUUGUUAUGAUUCUCGUGAAUCUUAGCAUUCACAUCCAUAAGGAUAUUCCUUCAGUUUUGAAUCGUCUCUCUUUUUGAAAUUUGUGGAUCUUUAUUUACUAAUUUUUACUUCAAAUGAUUGACAAAUAUCCUACUAUUAGGACAUAAAUGGUUGAACCAGACAGAAUCCUUUGUUUCAGGGUUAUCUUGAUCGUGAUCAAUUCACUCAGCUUGAAGAAUUGCAAGAUGAUGCUAACCCAAAUUUUGCCGAAGAAAUUGUGUCAUUGUUUUAUAAUGAUUCUGCUAGACUCAUCCGGAGCAUAGAACAAAUUAUGGUCAGUAAGCCUACGGAUUUUGAAAAGCUUGACAACUACGUGCACCAGUUCAAGGGUAGUAGCUCAAGUCACUAGAACGAGCUCAUCGUAACACUCGGAGCAAUGGCACUUUAUAUGGUUGUUAUGGAACAUUGGUUCAAUGACGACACCACUUCAACCUCAUGUGAAAAGCUGAAUCCACGAUGUGUCAUUAUUGGAGCCAAUAGGGUGACUGAUGCAUGUUCAAAGUUCAGAGAAUACUGCUUGGCAGAAAAACUUGAAGGAUGCAUCAGGAGUUUCCAGC
Momordica charantia (bitter melon) is the source of this 4005-nucleotide non-coding RNA. Lineage: Eukaryota; Viridiplantae; Streptophyta; Magnoliopsida; Cucurbitales; Cucurbitaceae. The record is from RefSeq and is a predicted model, not a curated record.